RNAcentral lists this ribosomal RNA (253 nucleotides) under uncultured bacterium. RNAcentral's name for it is "partial 16S ribosomal RNA". It matches the Rfam family "Bacterial small subunit ribosomal RNA", at positions 524 to 776 of the family's 1533-position model. The record is from RNAcentral.
UACAGAGGGGGCAAGCGUUAUUCGGAUUCAUUGGGCGUAAAGGGUGCGUAGGUGGCGCCGUAAGUCAGGUGUGAAAUUUCGGAGCUUAACUCCGAAACUGCAUUUGAUACUGCGGUGCUUGAGGACUGGAGAGGAGACUGGAAUUUACGGUGUAGCAGUGAAAUGCGUAGAGAUCGUAAGGAAGACCAGUGGCGAAGGCGGGUCUCUGGACAGUUCCUGACACUGAGGCACGAAGGCCAGGGGAGCAAACGGG